UUUAAUUAUCUUUCGCCAUCUUGAGAGUAAGCGCCGUUUUCCACUUCGUUGCUCCGGUUGGAUGCUGUUGGAUUCAGGGACGUAAAAACAAAGGCGGUAAAACAGUGGAGAGAAAAUUUCAUUCCUUCCUGUGAAGGUGGGAAACUUUUCUGCUUAGCAACAGCUGAUUAAUCUCCAGAGGAAACACGAGCCGGAUCAUUUCAUUGGCGCUACACACACUCUCCUGGCUGGUGUGUGUGUGAAGUUUCUGUUUGGACUUUAUUGCCUUCAUCUCUGGAGCAGCAGCAGACCUUACAGUUCGGUCUUCCUGGACAAGCGGCACCACCUGACCCAACAUGUUGCUGCUUUCUGAUUGGCUGGACCCUGGAGGGAAACUGACGGUGGAAACUUCCUGGGAUGAAGGCGCACCAUCAGAUGGAUGGAAACAAAUCCGCAGCAGAUUCAACAUCUGGUGAAGCCGAGACGCUCGCAGUGGAGGGCCAGCAGCAAAUUAACCAACCUGAUGAACUGAUGCUGCGUUCCAGGAACCUCGGAGGUAGGAAAUCGGAUCAGUUAAAGUCUGAGAGGUCGGGAUUUCAACAGACGUUGUACGCAGUACGUCUUAGGAGCAUCGUUUAAUUUUGCUUUCCAUCAGCAAACAAAACUUCUGAUUUGCUCAGUUUAGAGUUGCAGGAGCGACACGUAACACUGUGCCUAAAAACGUUCAUUUUAGGACGGGUGUGUUGUAUUUGUAUGGAUGGGUAGCAUUAGGCUAGCUGCUAGCAUGCCUAGGCUUCUCAUUUUACUGUAUGUUUACGCUGGAAGUCAUGCUACAUUUUUCGUGAUGAUAUUUUCUUUAAUGAUGAAAGCAGGAGUCGCAGGUGACCAGCCAAGGCAUGCUAACGGCUAGCAUAUGUUGGUCUAUCAUGGAUUUAGCCUCCUGCUACAAGGAAGUAGCCACCGCUGGCUUUGGAGGGAUGAUGGGAAAAUUCACAUCUCACUUCUAGGAAACUUUAUAUUUGUUUGAAAAG
Molecule: long non-coding RNA, 1010 nt
Organism: Xiphophorus couchianus (Monterrey platyfish)
Lineage: Eukaryota; Metazoa; Chordata; Actinopteri; Cyprinodontiformes; Poeciliidae
Exons: 3
Source: RefSeq, a predicted model, not a curated record